This 250-nucleotide ribosomal RNA is filed under the name uncultured bacterium. RNAcentral's name for it is "partial 16S ribosomal RNA". It matches the Rfam family "Bacterial small subunit ribosomal RNA", at positions 524 to 772 of the family's 1533-position model. The record is from RNAcentral.
UACGUAGGGGGCAAGCGUUGUCCGGAUUUAUUGGGCGUAAAGAGCUCGUAGGCGGUUCCGUAAGUCGUGAAGUCAAAUCUCUGGGCUCAACCCAGAAUCGCUUCCGAUACUGCGGUGACUGGAGUCCGGUAGGGGAGUGUGGAAUUCCUGGUGUAGCGGUGAAAUGCGCAGAUAUCAGGAGGAACACCAACAGCGAAGGCAGCACUCUGGGCCGGUACUGACGCUGAGGAGCGAAAGCAUGGGGAGCGAA